Long non-coding RNA from Pseudophryne corroboree (corroboree frog), 375 nucleotides. RefSeq lists it as uncharacterized. The transcript has 2 exons. Lineage: Eukaryota; Metazoa; Chordata; Amphibia; Anura; Myobatrachidae. The record is from RefSeq and is a predicted model, not a curated record.
CCCCCUCACUGGCAACACGUCAGCUGGACGGACCGGCAUUACGUCACUUCCGGAAGUGAGGGACGUCUCGACCGGGAUCCGGGCGGCGUGGACUCCACGAGUGGGAGGAGUGCCUCCUGAAGUUAAGUAACCAUGGCGAUCUCCCCCUCACUGGCAACACGUCAGCUGGACGGACCGGCAUUACGUCACUUCCGGAAGUGAGGGACGUCUCGACCGGGAUCCGGGCGGCGUGGACUCCACGAGUGGGAGGAGUGCCUCCUGAAGUUAAAGUGUUUAAACACUUUAUUUGCUUAUGUACACUAAUCCUGACGACGGGGCUGCGACCCCGAAACGUUGAUGUCUUUAUGAUAAUAAAUUCACUGCACGCUUUCACCU